UGGGGAAUUUUGCACAAUGGGGGAAACCCUGAUGCAGCGACGCCGCGUGAUUUAGAAGGCCUUCGGGUUGUAAAAAUCUUUUCUAUGGGAAGAAAAUGACAGUACCAUAGGAAUAAGGACCGGCUAAUUACGUGCCAGCAGCCGCGGUAAUACGUAAGGUCCGAGCGUUGUCCGGAAUCAUUGGGCGUAAAGGGUACGUAGGCGGGUAAGCAAGUUAGAAGUGAAAUCCUAUAGCUCAACUAUAGUAAGCUUUUAAAACUGCUCAUCUUGAGGUAUGGAAGGGAAAGUUGAAUUCCUAGUGUAGCGGUGAAAUGCGCAGAUAUUAGGAGGAAUCCCGGUGGCGAAGGCGACUUUCUGGCCAUAACCUGACGCUGAGGUACGAAAGCGUGGGUAGCAAACAGG
Molecule: ribosomal RNA, 402 nt
Filed under: bacterium
Lineage: Bacteria
Description: partial 16S ribosomal RNA
Rfam family: Bacterial small subunit ribosomal RNA
Source: RNAcentral